GCACUACCGGUUCAGUGGCAGAGUUCUAGCCUUUCAUUCUGGAGGCCCAAGUUCAAUUCCUGGCUAAUGCA
Molecule: transfer RNA, 71 nt
Filed under: Loxodonta africana (African savanna elephant)
Lineage: Eukaryota; Metazoa; Chordata; Mammalia; Proboscidea; Elephantidae
Rfam family: tRNA
About the family: Transfer RNA (tRNA) molecules are approximately 80 nucleotides in length. Their secondary structure includes four short double-helical elements and three loops (D, anti-codon, and T loops).
Source: Rfam by way of RNAcentral